This 460-nucleotide ribosomal RNA is filed under the name uncultured bacterium. RNAcentral describes it as "bacterial SSU rRNA". It matches the Rfam family "Bacterial small subunit ribosomal RNA", at positions 345 to 796 of the family's 1533-position model. The record is from RNAcentral.
GGUGCAGCAGUCGGGGAAUCUUGCGCAAUGGGCGAAAGCCUGACGCAGCAACGCCGCGUGUGUGAUGAAGGUCUUCGGAUCGUAAAGCACUGUCGCGAGGGAAGAUACGCUACCAUCUAAUAACUGGGAGCUAAGACGGUACCUCGAGAGGAAGCACCGGCUAACUCUGUGCCAGCAGCCGCGGUAAUACAGAGGGUGCGAGCGUUGUUCGGAAUUAUUGGGCGUAAAGCGCUUGUAGGCGGCUUGUUAAGUCUCGUGUGAAAUCCCCAGGCUUAACCUGGGAAGUGCGCGAGAAACUGGCGAGCUUGAAUGCCGGAGAAGGUCGCGGAAUUCCCGGUGUAGAGGUGAAAUUCGUAGAUAUCGGGAGGAACACCAGUGGCGAAGGCGGCGACCUGGACGGACAUUGACGCUGAGACGCGAAAGCGUGGGGAGCAAACAGGAUUAGAAACCCCUGUAGUCC